UUUUUUUUUUGACAGAGGUGAGAUUUUCUGUUUUUAAAACAAGUACCUGGUCGUUUAACUGGAUUUGCCAUGAAGAGCAAUAACCUUUUUUUUACCAUUCUCCUUGCCCCUGCAGCCGGGACGACAAAGGGCCGGCUUCCCCACCAGCUUCCCCACCGGAAUCAUGGGAAGAAAUGCUAGUAAAGAGACAGAUUCUCCUGUACAGCACAAAAGAGAACGGAUGACAUCUCUCUAUAGAGACUAUAGGACUGAGUCAGGGCAGAGACAGAGGCAAAGGAAGGGAAUGGAAGGUCUAAGGUCACUCCAGAUCAGAGUUUACCUGGAAAGCACCCAGUUCACAAAAGGGGUUACCAAUUCUGUCAGGAGAAAGGCCUACAGUAACAUAGACGUGUCUGUGAUAGAUAACUACCUCUUCUGACAACAUAUAUCAAACUUGGAGCCAGUGUCUACCUCAUGCCCUUUCCCAACCACCAUUGGCAGAAGCUGAGUCAGCACUAUAAGAAGCCAACCAGGGCCAAAGAGAUGAGGGUCAGUAGUAAGACUACAGCCAUAUGGGCGUAGGUGCCAAUCUAUAGCUUCUCUAAAGAUGUAGUCGUGGGAACUCAGUGAUAUGGAACUUGAGGGACUGAGGAUGUGCCUGUGAGUAUGGAUGGGGAUGCGUAAGGCAUUGCUGAUCCUGGUCUAGUUACCAUCCAUCCUGUGUUUAAUUAAUGAAGAGUAGCAUCUAAUGAGCUGAGAUGAGGAGUGAUGCAGACAAGUGAGCCUAGGAGUGUACCUGCCUUCUGAUCCUCUAGCUCACGGAUGUGUGCUAGCGAUGGCUAAGCUGCCGCAGGGCAGCGUGUGUAUGAGACUGGGGAGGCUCGGCAUGCACACCAGACUCGGCUUCAUAGCGUCUCACAACGGAACAGCACACACGCACACCACUAGGCAUCCAAAAGAUGCUCCCUUCAGCACCUAGGAGCAGGGAGGACUCAGGUCGGAGCAGGGCUGAGUCUUCAUUAGGGAGACAGGGAUGCUGUGUUUUGGAUUCAGGGUUUCCUGCAGGUGUCAGACCCUAGCUAGGUACUACCUGAAAUGACCAAGAUGCCAGGAAAAAAAAAAAAGAUUUUUUUUUUUUCGGCCAGGAUUUCAAGAUUGAACAAUAUCAUUUUAAGAGUAUAGUCAUAGCAUUUUAGACAGGGAGAUUGUACAAAGUCAAAUUCUUUGCAAAAUAAAUUUUCAUCCAAUUAAAUAAAUACCCACAAAAUCAACCCCAGCCAUAACAUCUUUUCCUGUUUGAGUUUGCUGCAGAGACUAUACUUGGAGGUGACACCACCACCAUUUGUGUCAGGUUGAUGAACAUAUAAUUUACCUCUUUCACAAUCAGUUCUCAUGUUUGUUAUCAAUGAAUUUGCCAAGAUUAGCUUGCACUAAAAAUGUUCACUAUAAAAUAAUAAUGCUGAGAUAGAAAGUCCACUUUGGCUGGUCCCCUAAAAUUCACAUUCUGCAAUGUGUCAACCUUGAGUCUUGGGUUUUGAGUUACCCUUGACCUAAGGGUUUUGUAAUUUGUCUCCUUUGGGCUAUAUUGUUGUUUGAAUUACAAAAUUCACUUAUGAAGAGCUGUUUAUAAAUACAAUCUCAAAUGAUAUUACACAUUCAGGAGCUCAUCUGACUUUGUUAUGAAGACAGAAAAGAACACUUCAGGGCUCCGUUCCAGUUUCUGUGCAAAUCUGUAUAAAUCUCUUUGGUGUAGUAAUUCAAGAAUCCUUUGCAGAUGAGAAUAACUGAACCAGCAUAUUACAGACAGAAAGCAGUGAGAGGAAGUUUGAUUGUAACCUGAAAACAAUGUGGGUUUGGUUGAUGUUCUCAGUCUCUUUGAGAAGGCUGAGCCACACACAUGAAGUUCCCUUUGUCACUGAGACUAGGUGGCCUGCGGUGACAGAGCAGGAGUGGACAGGUCCUUUCAAGGUUUGCUGAGUUGCCUGAAGUUUUUAUAAAAUGAAGAAACUGAGCACAGGAGAUCUGUACCUCUUUGCUCAUUUCUUAAAUCUAAGGAUGAAAAAAAAUCCAUUAGAUAUUUUGUUAAAACUAUGAUACUUGUUACUUGAAAAACAUUAAAUUCUGUAUAAAUUACUGAAAAUUCAGAAGUAGAAAUUGACCACCUAGAGUCUUUAACAAAAAUUAACUUUUAUAUGGGAAACUUGUUUUGACACAAAACUAAUGACCUAUUUAUCUUCCUGUGGAACUAUGAAAGUAAUAUAAUAUUAUCUUAUUUAAAGCAAAAUGAAAAAUUAGAAAGCCUGUUGGGGUAUCACAGUGACCCCAGGGUCCCAUGUCUAUUCUACAUCGACUGGAACUCAGAGCGACAACCACACCCUGCUAGAAAGCCAUCUGAAAAUACUUUCUUUCCUGAAGUAAAGAUUUAUCUUAAAUUUACAGGAACUUUCUUUGAAAGACUUUACCCUAAGAUCUGUAUGUUAUUUUAAGUAUCUGAAUGAAAUAUCUAUGAGAAAGGUAACAUAUUCUAUGACUGCAUUUACUGGUAGAUGGGUGAGAAAACUGUACCGUAGGAUUAGUGUGUUUUGGUUACAUUUUAUAAGCCAUGAGGGAGCAAGACCCAGUUCCCUGGUUCUAGUUCUGUCAGCAUCUCAUUUGGUUCGUUUAUUAUGUGUGCCGUGACUUCUCACACAAGUGAAACAGAAAAUUUAAAACAGUUACAAAUCAGAGUAUUCAAGUAUUUACACCUUGGUCCUCGGGGCUUAGAGGAAAAUAAAAUUUGAAGGUAGAUGAUAUACUUUAGUACAAGAGCUCAGGGGAGAGAGUGCAUGCUGCUCUCCUUGUGAGGCAGAUUUGGGUGGUGUCGGAGCCCUGUGAGAGUCAUGGGAACCGGUUCAGGCUGGGAUCCCAAAUGUGUUCCAGGGAAUGAGAGAACUGUUGGAGG
This 2920-nucleotide long non-coding RNA is filed under the name Mus musculus (house mouse). RNAcentral's name for it is "long non-coding RNA chr4:14899399-14902319". The record is from RNAcentral. Lineage: Eukaryota; Metazoa; Chordata; Mammalia; Rodentia; Muridae.